CAAGUGGUACGCUCGUACCAGAACGUUGCGCGACGGCGGGCCCUGCCACCCGGUGCGACGGG
RNAcentral lists this non-coding RNA (62 nucleotides) under unclassified sequences. The record is from RNAcentral.